AGGGAAAGGCGAAAAGAACCCCGGCGAGGGGAGUGAAAAAGAACCUGAAACCGUGUACGUACAAGCAGUGGGAGCACCCUUUGGGGUGUGACUGCGUACCUUUUGUAUAAUGGGUCAGCGACUUAUAUUCUGUAGCAAGGUUAACCGUAUAGGGGAGCCGCAGGGAAACCGAGUCUUAACCGGGCGUUAAGUUGCAGGGUAUAGACCCGAAACCCGGUGAUCUAGCCAUGGGCAGGUUGAAGGUUGGGUAACACUAACUGGAGGACCGAACCGACUAAUGUUGAAAAAUUAGCGGAUGACCUGUGGCUGGGGGUGAAAGGCCAAUCAAACCGGGAGAUAGCUGGUUCUCCCCGAAAGCUAUUUAGGUAGCGCCUCGUGAAUUCAUCUCCGGGGGUAGAGCACUGUUUCGGCUAGGGGGCCAUCCCGGCUUACCAACCCGAUGCAAACUGCGAAUACCGGAGAAUGUUAUCACGGGAGACACACGGCGGGUGCUAACGUCCGUCGUGAAGAGGGAAACAACCCAGACCGCCAGCUAAGGUCCCAAAGUCAUGGUUAAGUGGGAAACGAUGUGGGAAGGCCCAGACAGCCAGGAUGUUGGCUUAGAAGCAGCCAUCAUUUAAAGAAAGCGUAAUAGCUCACUGGUCGAGUCGGCCUGCGCGGAAGAUGUAACGGGGCUAAACCAU
Molecule: ribosomal RNA, 683 nt
Filed under: Salmonella enterica subsp. enterica serovar Senftenberg
Lineage: Bacteria; Pseudomonadati; Pseudomonadota; Gammaproteobacteria; Enterobacterales; Enterobacteriaceae
Description: partial 23S ribosomal RNA
Rfam family: Bacterial large subunit ribosomal RNA
Source: RNAcentral